AGAGUUUGAUCCUGGCUCAGGAUGAACGCUAGCUACAGGCUUAACACAUGCAAGUCGAGGGGCAGCAUGAACUUAGCUUGCUAAGUUUGAUGGCGACCGGCGCACGGGUGAGUAACACGUAUCCAACCUGCCGAUGACUCGGGGAUAGCCUUUCGAAAGAAAGAUUAAUACCCGAUGGCAUAGUUCUUCCGCAUGGURGAACUAUUAAAGAAUUUCGGUCAUCGAUGGGGAUGCGUUCCAUUAGGUUGUUGGCGGGGUAACGGCCCACCAAGCCUUCGAUGGAUAGGGGUUCUGAGAGGAAGGUCCCCCACAUUGGAACUGAGACACGGUCCAAACUCCUACGGGAGGCAGCAGUGAGGAAUAUUGGUCAAUGGACGAGAGUCUGAACCAGCCAAGUAGCGUGAAGGAUGACUGCCCUAUGGGUUGUAAACUUCUUUUAUACGGGAAUAAAGUGAGGCACGUGUGCCUUUUUGUAUGUACCGUAUGAAUAAGGAUCGGCUAACUCCGUGCCAGCAGCCGCGGUAAU
RNAcentral lists this ribosomal RNA (526 nucleotides) under uncultured Bacteroides sp. Its description in RNAcentral is "bacterial SSU rRNA". It matches the Rfam family "Bacterial small subunit ribosomal RNA", at positions 8 to 524 of the family's 1533-position model. Lineage: Bacteria; Pseudomonadati; Bacteroidota; Bacteroidia; Bacteroidales; Bacteroidaceae. The record is from RNAcentral.